Long non-coding RNA from Panicum virgatum (switchgrass), 194 nucleotides. RefSeq lists it as uncharacterized. NCBI's taxonomy places the organism in Eukaryota, Viridiplantae, Streptophyta, Magnoliopsida, Poales, Poaceae. The record is from RefSeq and is a predicted model, not a curated record. The transcript has 2 exons.
GAAUUGUUGAGAACAAACUGGGUUCAUUGAUUUUCUUGGCAGUUUCAUCCUUAGACUAGGAUAGAGGAAAUCUGAUCAUCACAUAAGGUCAAGAUCAUGAGCUGGUUAAAUAAAAUUUUCAAGGGUUCAGUAAAUAGAGUUUCAAGGGGUCACUAUGACGGAGACUGGCAUGAAGGCCAUUCAUCUGAUUACAA